RNAcentral lists this ribosomal RNA (254 nucleotides) under uncultured bacterium. RNAcentral's name for it is "partial 16S ribosomal RNA". It matches the Rfam family "Bacterial small subunit ribosomal RNA", at positions 1240 to 1500 of the family's 1533-position model. The record is from RNAcentral.
CAAAGGGAAGCGAGACGGUGACGUUUAGCAAAUCCCAGAAAUAACGUCCCAGUUCGGAUUGUAGUCUGCAACCCGACUACAUGAAGCUGGAAUCGCUAGUAAUCGCGAAUUAGAAUGUCGCGGUGAAUACGUUCCCGGGUCUUGUACACACCGCCCGUCACACCAUGGGAGUCGGGAGUGCCUGAAGUUCGUGACCGUCACAGGAGCGACCUAAGGCAAGACCGAUGACUGGGGCUAAGUCGUAACAAGGUAGC